GACCGGAAUAGUAAUAAUAUAGUGAGAGAAAAAAAGAGAGAGAUUCGACGGGGCAAAAUGUGUGGGGGGCCGUUGGCAGCGGAAUCCGGGGCAGGAAGAAGGCGGAUGUGGAAGGUGGACAACGGUUGACCAGGGACAGUCAACGACAACGGGCAAGCAACAGAGGGAAAACGACAAGGCCCGGCAGGCGGAGGUUUUAUUCUUCUACACAGCAGACGGCCAUCAUAGCAUAGAUUGCUAGGUUUAUCUUUUUCCUGGCUUACGAAAAACAAGAAGAGGAGGAAGAAGAUGGAAGAAGAAGAUGAAGAAGAAGAAAAGAAAGGACAAAUAGUGACCUGGUCAACGAGCUGUUUAAGUUCUAAUUUCUGCAGCUUCCCCAGUCAGAUUCUAUCUAUAUGUUUCCCUCUAGCUCGCUCGUUCGAAGCUCCCACGCCAAUCAACAUCUGCUUAGCUUCGAGGUUUAUUCUUAGCUGCGUCUGGUCUGAAGAUACGCAC
RNAcentral lists this small RNA (495 nucleotides) under Histoplasma capsulatum. Its description in RNAcentral is "hypothetical RNA". RNAcentral also lists the same sequence under 1 other name. Lineage: Eukaryota; Fungi; Ascomycota; Eurotiomycetes; Onygenales; Ajellomycetaceae. The record is from RNAcentral.